This is a non-coding RNA of Coniochaeta pulveracea, 87 nucleotides long. Lineage: Eukaryota; Fungi; Ascomycota; Sordariomycetes; Coniochaetales; Coniochaetaceae. The record is from the annotation of a GenBank genome assembly.
GGUUCUGUGGUGUAGUGGUUAUCACGCUUCGUUCACAACAGUGAGCACUUUCCGAAGAGGUCCCCGGUUCGAGCCCGGGCAGGAUCA